Molecule: ribosomal RNA, 583 nt
Filed under: bacterium MS-F-87
Lineage: Bacteria
Description: bacterial SSU rRNA
Rfam family: Bacterial small subunit ribosomal RNA
Source: RNAcentral
UGCGUAACGCGUAUGCAAUCUACCUUGUACAGGGGAAUAGCCCAGGGAAACUUGGAUUAAUGCCCCAUGGUAUUAUUUUGUAGCAUUACAUUAUAAUUAAAGAUUUAUCGGUACAAGAUGAGCAUGCGUCCCAUUAGUUAGUUGGUGAGGUAACGGCUUACCAAGACGACGAUGGGUAGGGGCCCUGAGAGGGGGAUCCCCCACACUGGUACUGAGACACGGACCAGACUCCUACGGGAGGCAGCAGUGAGGAAUAUUGGACAAUGGGCGAAAGCCUGAUCCAGCCAUGCCGCGUGCAGGAAGACGGCCCUAUGGGUUGUAAACUGCUUUUGUACGGGAAGAAACACCCCCACGUGUGGGGGCUUGACGGUACCGUAAGAAUAAGCAUCGGCUAACUCCGUGCCAGCAGCCGCGGUAAUACGGAGGAUGCAAGCGUUAUCCGGAAUCAUUGGGUUUAAAGGGUCCGUAGGCGGACAAUUAAGUCAGAGGUGAAAUUCUACGGCUCAACCGUAGAACUGCCUUUGAAACUGGUUGUCUUGAAUCGUUGUGAAGUGGUUGGAAUGAGCAGUGUAGCGGUGAAAUG